GACGAACGCUGGCGGCGUGCCUAAUACAUGCAAGUCGAACGCAGUGGGGAUGGGUGAGUAACACGUGGCUAACCUCCCAUCAGAGGGGAUAACACUUGGCAACAGGUGCUUAACCGAUACUGACGGAUGGACUCGCGGUGCAUUAGCUUGUUGGUGGGGUAACGGCUCACCAAGGCCACGAUGCAUAGCCGACCUUAGAGGAUGAUCAGCCACACUGGGACUGAGACACGGCCCAGACUCCUACGGGAGGCAGCAGUAGGGAAUCUUCGGCAAUGGACGAAAGUCUGACCGAGCAACGCCGUGUGAAUGAAGAAGGUUUUCGGAUCGUAAAGCUCUGUUGUAAGAGAGGCGGUAUCUAACCAGAAAGCCACGGCUAACUACGUGCCAGCAGCCGCGGUAAUAC
Molecule: ribosomal RNA, 403 nt
Filed under: uncultured bacterium
Lineage: Bacteria
Description: partial 16S ribosomal RNA
Rfam family: Bacterial small subunit ribosomal RNA
Source: RNAcentral